This 468-nucleotide ribosomal RNA is filed under the name uncultured bacterium. RNAcentral's name for it is "partial 16S ribosomal RNA". It matches the Rfam family "Bacterial small subunit ribosomal RNA", at positions 28 to 507 of the family's 1533-position model. The record is from RNAcentral.
GACGAACGCUGGCGGCGUGCUUAACACAUGCCAGUCGAACGGUGAAGCUCCAGCUUGCUGGAGUGGAUCAGUGGCGAACGGGUGAGUAACACGUGAGCAACCUGCCCCUGACUCUGGAAUAAGCGCUGGAAACGGCGUCUAAUACUGGAUACGAGAAGGGUCCGCAUGGGCACUUUCUGGAAAGUUUUUCGGUUGGGGAUGGGCUCGCGGCCUAUCAGCUUGUUGGUGAGGUAAUGGCUCACCAAGGCGACGACGGGUAGCCGGCCUGAGAGGGCGACCGGCCACACUGGGACGGAGACACGGCCCAGACUCCUACGGGAGGCAGCAGGGGGGAAGAUUGCACAAUGGGCGAAAGCCUGAUGCAGCGACGCCGCGUGAGGGAUGACGGCCUUCGGGUUGUAAACCUCUUUCAGCAGGGAAGAAGCGAAAGUGACGGUACCUGCAGAAGAAGCACCGGCUAACUACGUG